This 1170-nucleotide ribosomal RNA is filed under the name Escherichia coli. RNAcentral describes it as "partial 23S ribosomal RNA". It matches the Rfam family "Bacterial large subunit ribosomal RNA", at positions 1 to 1212 of the family's 2925-position model. The record is from RNAcentral. Lineage: Bacteria; Pseudomonadati; Pseudomonadota; Gammaproteobacteria; Enterobacterales; Enterobacteriaceae. RNAcentral also lists the same sequence under 2 other names.
GGUUAAGCGACUAAGCGUACACGGUGGAUGCCCUGGCAGUCAGAGGCGAUGAAGGACGUGCUAAUCUGCGAUAAGCGUCGGUAAGGUGAUAUGAACCGUUAUAACCGGCGAUUUCCGAAUGGGGAAACCCAGUGUGUUUCGACACACUAUCAUUAACUGAAUCCAUAGGUUAAUGAGGCGAACCGGGGGAACUGAAACAUCUAAGUACCCCGAGGAAAAGAAAUCAACCGAGAUUCCCCCAGUAGCGGCGAGCGAACGGGGAGCAGCCCAGAGCCUGAAUCAGUGUGUGUGUUAGUGGAAGCGUCUGGAAAGGCGCGCGAUACAGGGUGACAGCCCCGUACACAAAAAUGCACAUGCUGUGAGCUCGAUGAGUAGGGCGGGACACGUGGUAUCCUGUCUGAAUAUGGGGGGACCAUCCUCCAAGGCUAAAUACUCCUGACUGACCGAUAGUGAACCAGUACCGUGAGGGAAAGGCGAAAAGAACCCCGGCGAGGGGAGUGAAAAAGAACCUGAAACCGUGUACGUACAAGCAGUGGGAGCACGCUUAGGCGUGUGACUGCGUACCUUUUGUAUAAUGGGUCAGCGACUUAUAUUCUGUAGCAAGGUUAACCGAAUAGGGGAGCCGAAGGGAAACCGAGUCUUAACUGGGCGUUAAGUUGCAGGGUAUAGACCCGAAACCCGGUGAUCUAGCCAUGGGCAGGUUGAAGGUUGGGUAACACUAACUGGAGGACCGAACCGACUAAUGUUGAAAAAUUAGCGGAUGACUUGUGGCUGGGGGUGAAAGGCCAAUCAAACCGGGAGAUAGCUGGUUCUCCCCGAAAGCUAUUUAGGUAGCGCCUCGUGAAUUCAUCUCCGGGGGUAGAGCACUGUUUCGGCAAGGGGGUCAUCCCGACUUACCAACCCGAUGCAAACUGCGAAUACCGGAGAAUGUUAUCACGGGAGACACACGGCGGGUGCUAACGUCCGUCGUGAAGAGGGAAACAACCCAGACCGCCAGCUAAGGUCCCAAAGUCAUGGUUAAGUGGGAAACGAUGUGGGAAGGCCCAGACAGCCAGGAUGUUGGCUUAGAAGCAGCCAUCAUUUAAAGAAAGCGUAAUAGCUCACUGGUCGAGUCGGCCUGCGCGGAAGAUGUAACGGGGCUAAACCAUGCACCGAAGCUGCGGCAGCGAC